CCUACGGGUGGCUGCAGUGGGGAAUAUUGGACAAUGGGCGAAAGCCUGAUCCAGCCAUGCCGCGUGUGUGAAGAAGGCCUUCGGGUUGUAAAGCACUUUCAGUGGGGAAGAAAGCCUUGGGGCUAAUACCCUCGAGGAAGGACAUCACCCACAGAAGAAGCACCGGCUAACUCCGUGCCAGCAGCCGCGGUAAUACGGAGGGUGCGAGCGUUAAUCGGAAUUACUGGGCGUAAAGCGCGCGUAGGCGGUCUGAUAAGCCGGUUGUGAAAGCCCCGGGCUCAACCUGGGAACGGCAUCCGGAACUGUCAGGCUAGAGUGCAGGAGAGGAAGGUAGAAUUCCCGGUGUAGCGGUGAAAUGCGUAGAGAUCGGGAGGAAUACCAGUGGCGAAGGCGGCCUUCUGGACUGACACUGACGCUGGGGUGCGAAAGCGUGGGUAGCAAACAGGAUUAGAUACCCUAGUAGUC
Molecule: ribosomal RNA, 465 nt
Filed under: Vreelandella stevensii
Lineage: Bacteria; Pseudomonadati; Pseudomonadota; Gammaproteobacteria; Oceanospirillales; Halomonadaceae
Description: partial 16S ribosomal RNA
Rfam family: Bacterial small subunit ribosomal RNA
Source: RNAcentral